GGACCCGCACAAGCGGUGGAGCAUGUGGUUUAAUUCGAUGCAACGCGAAAAACCUUACCUACUCUUGACAUACUUGGGAGCUCUUGUAAUGAGAGUGUGCCUUUUGGAACCAAGAUACAGGUGCUGCAUGGCUGUCGUCAGCUCGUGUCGUGAGAUGUUCCGUUAAGUCGGAUAACGAGCGCAACCCUUACCCUUAUUUGCCAGCGAUUCGGUCGGGAACUAUAAGGGGACUGCCGGUGAUAAACCGGAGGAAGGUGAGGACGACGUCAAGUCAUCAUGGCCCUUACGAGUAGGGCUACACACGUGCUACAAUGGGGAAUACAGACGGACGCUAAGCCGCGAGGUGGUGCUAAUCCUAGAAAGUUUCUCGUAGUCCGGAUUGGAGUCUGCAACUCGACUCCAUGAAGUCGGAAUCGCUAGUAAUCG
Molecule: ribosomal RNA, 426 nt
Filed under: uncultured bacterium
Lineage: Bacteria
Description: bacterial SSU rRNA
Rfam family: Bacterial small subunit ribosomal RNA
Source: RNAcentral